ACGAAUGUAAGGAGUGAUUCGAUUUGUUAAAAGAGACCGUUAACAUUGCAGCCAUUAUUCUCAAGGGGAACGUCCUAUUUCCUAUAUUUUCGAGAAAUUUCUGGUGCAAAUCCAUAUAAUUUCUUCCCGAUUUCAUCUUACCUUCUCCUCGUUAUUAAAAUAUUCACAAUGUCUUGGGAUAGCCACAUCCAACCCAUGAUGGCAGCUCAGAAGGGCACUGGACACUGUGCCAUAUGCGGGCAAGAUGGCGGCAUAUGGGCGUCCAGUCCGAGCUGCCCCCUUCAGCCCCAGGAGAUCAAGGAUCUUGUAGCGUUUGCCAAAUCGGGCGGCCAGCCUUCGGAUAAGAGAUACUUUUUCGGCGGGAUGAAACUGAUGUUUGUUAAGCAGGACACAACUGACAACGUUGCACAAUUCAUUUUUGCUCCGCAAUCCACCGCGGAGAGAAAAGUUACCGAUGAAGAGAAAGGCCUGGUUUGCGUUAUUAUAACAAAAACGGCGGCUGUAAUCACGUAUGUCAGUGGCACGAACCAGAGAGCCGCCGUUACUAGUUGUCUUAAUGAAGCUAAAUACCUGAAUGAAUGCAAUAUGUAGUUUGCUUAUGGUUGUGAGAAGUGAUAGUUUACAAAUUACUCUUAACAUGCAUUUGACCACUAACAAAUUUCGAUAUUUCAACCUUUUUUUGCUAGUUAUAUGUCAUGAAUUAAAAAAGUGUUACAACAAAAUUAUUUUUUCUUUGUUGUGUUACUAAUGUGUCAUAUGUGUGCUUUGUUUUGUCUUUUAUUUCAUGUUUUAUUCUUUCUAGCUUAAAAGCGACAUUUUUCAAGGAAAAAAUCGAGGGACUGUUGAAGCCUUGGUGUCAGUAAUGGUGUCAAUUGCAUCGUGAAAAAACCUGAACUUUCGCCUUUUAUAAUUCUGUUCAAGAUAUUCAAAUAAAAAUGGGUAAACAUGGUAACUCUUGGUUAAAUAAUUAUUCAUUUAUGGCCCUUUUACGACCGAUUAAACUACGAACAUUUGGUUUUGCUCCAAGUUUUUUGCAAUUUUGCUUUUUGGCUCUGUUCUUAUGUAUUUGAAAUCCAUGUAUCCACUUUGUUAGGACAGAGAUUAUUCUAGUACCGUAAAUUCAGUGAGAAAUUUAAGAUGUUAAAAAUACAUGUUAGAAAAAUUUCCAGCUGUACAUUGGUCUUUUUCAAUCAGGUUAAAAAUUUAUUUUACAAGAAGGGAUCCAUAUUUUAUAAUUUACAUUGAAUAUUUUUUAAUGUGAAAACCUAACUUGAUUGAAUAAAUAACAGAUUCGCUUGUUAAAUAUUUAUAUAUAAAGAAAUAUAGGCAAUUAACACAAAUCUAGAA
Long non-coding RNA from Mya arenaria, 1347 nucleotides. RefSeq lists it as uncharacterized. The record is from RefSeq and is a predicted model, not a curated record. The transcript is spliced from 2 exons. Lineage: Eukaryota; Metazoa; Mollusca; Bivalvia; Myida; Myidae.